UGGGGAAUAUUGCGCAAUGGGCGAAAGCCUGACGCAGCCAUACCGCGUGUGUGAAGAAGGCUCUAGGGUCGUAAAGCACUUUAAGUAGGGAGGAAGGCCUGUAAAUUAAUACUUUGCAGGAUUGACGUUACCUACAGAAUAAGCACCGGCUAACUCCGUGCCAGCAGCCGCGGUAAUACGGAGGGUGCAAGCGUUAAUCGGAAUUACUGGGCGUAAAGCGCGCGUAGGCGGUUUGGUAAGCGGGGUGUGAAAGCCCUGGGCUCAACCUGGGAACUGCAUCCCGAACUGCCAGACUAGAGUACAAGAGAGGGUGGUAGAAUUUCCUGUGUAGCGGUGAAAUGCGUAGAUAUAGGAAGGAAUACCAGUGGCGAAGGCGGCCACCUGGCUUGAUACUGACGCUGAGGUGCGAAAGCGUGGGGAGCGAACAGGAUUAGAUACCCCCGUAGUCC
This 449-nucleotide ribosomal RNA is filed under the name uncultured prokaryote. Its description in RNAcentral is "bacterial SSU rRNA". It matches the Rfam family "Bacterial small subunit ribosomal RNA", at positions 355 to 796 of the family's 1533-position model. The record is from RNAcentral.